GACGAACGCGGCGGCGUGCUUAACACAUGCAAGUCGAACGGAGCGAAUGAAAGCUUGCUUUUAUGAGCUUAGUGGCAAACGGGUGAGUAACACGUAGACAACCUGCCGACAGGAUGGGGACAACAUUCCGAAAGGAAUGCUAAUACCGAAUGAAGCGGAGGAGAGGCAUCUCUCCUCCGUGAAAGAUGGCCUCUAUUUAUAAGCUAUCACCUGUCGAUGGGUCUGCGUCUGAUUAGCUAGUUGGUGAGGUAACGGCUCACCAAGGCGACGAUCAGUAGCCGGUCUGAGAGGAUGAACGGCCACAUUGGGACUGAGACACGGCCCAGACUCCUACGGGAGGCAGCAGUGGGGAAUCUUCCGCAAUGGGCGCAAGCCUGACGGAGCAACGCCGCGUGAGUGAAGAAGGUCUUCGGAUGUAAAGCUCUGUUGACGGGGACGAACGUGCGAAGGGUGAAUAAUCCUUUGC
Molecule: ribosomal RNA, 466 nt
Filed under: Centipeda infelix
Lineage: Bacteria; Bacillati; Bacillota; Negativicutes; Selenomonadales; Selenomonadaceae
Description: bacterial SSU rRNA
Rfam family: Bacterial small subunit ribosomal RNA
Source: RNAcentral